This 199-nucleotide ribosomal RNA is filed under the name uncultured bacterium. RNAcentral describes it as "partial 16S ribosomal RNA". It matches the Rfam family "Bacterial small subunit ribosomal RNA", at positions 328 to 539 of the family's 1533-position model. The record is from RNAcentral.
ACGCUCGACACCUACGAGAGGCAGCAGUCGGGAAUAUUGCGCAAUGGAGGAAACUCUGACGCAGUGACGCCGCGUAUGGGAAGAAGGUUUUCGGAUUGUAAACCAUUUUAGACAAGGAAGAAACAAGACAGUACUUGUAGAAUAAGCUCCGGCUAACUACGUGCCAGCAGCCGCGGUAAUCUGAGCGGGCUGGCAAGGC